AGAGAGACCCUGAGCACCCUCUAUGUAACCCCCCUGUGUUCAUCACCACUACAGGUGUAUCUGUCAUGUUGUUUUGUCUGUCCUCUUUCUCCUGAUUUCACUCGUUCCCUCCAUUCCCCUCCUCUCUCUGCAGUCUCGGGUUCCCCUCCUCUCUCUGCAGUCUCGGGUUCCCCUCCUCUCUCUGCAGUCUCGGGUUCCCCUCCUCUCUCUGCAGUCUCGGGUUCCCCUCCUCCGUCAGAUGGCGUUCUGCCUGGCCGAGCUUCACUGUUGGUCCUCCAGCAGUUCACUACAAGUCAGAGAUACAGAUAUUGGCACCCAUCAGUACUAUGACAAAGGAGAGCCAGCCGCCCCAUCAGAGCACCACUACUACACUGACAAACAGGAUUUCUCUGAAUG
Long non-coding RNA from Oncorhynchus kisutch (coho salmon), 396 nucleotides. RefSeq lists it as uncharacterized. The record is from RefSeq and is a predicted model, not a curated record. Lineage: Eukaryota; Metazoa; Chordata; Actinopteri; Salmoniformes; Salmonidae. The transcript is spliced from 3 exons.